AACAGGAUUAGAUACCCUGGUAGUCCACGCCGUAAACGAUGUCGACUUGGAGGUUGUUCCCUUGAGGCGUGGCUUCCGGAGCUAACGCGUUAAGUCGACCGCCUGGGGAGUACGGCCGCAAGGUUAAAACUCAAAUGAAUUGACGGGGGCCCGCACAAGCGGUGGAGCAUGUGGUUUAAUUCGAUGCAACGCGAAGAACCUUACCUACUCUUGACAUCCAGAGAACUUAGCAGAAAUGCUUUGGUGCCUUCGGGAACUCUGAGACAGGUGCUGCAUGGCUGUCGUCAGCUCGUGUUGUGAAAUGUUGGGUUAAGUCCCGCAACGAGCGCAACCCUUAUCCUUUGUUGCCAGCGGUCCGGCCGGGAACUCAAAGGAGACUGCCAGUGAUAAACUGGAGGAAGGUGGGGAUGACGUCAAGUCAUCAUGGCCCUUACGAGUAGGGCUACACACGUGCUACAAUGGCGCAUACAAAGAGAAGCGACCUCGCGAGAGCAAGCGGACCUCAUAAAGUGCGUCGUAGUCCGGAUUGGAGUCUGCAACUCGACUCCAUGAAGUCGGAAUCGCUAGUAAUCGUAGAUCAGAAUGCUACGGUGAAUACGUUCCCGGGCCUUGUACACACCGCCCGUCACACCAUGGGAGUGGGUUGCAAAAGAAGUAGGUAGCUUAACCUUCGGGAGGGCGCUUACCACUUUGUGAUUCAUGACUGGGGUGAAGUCGUAACAAGGUAACC
This 730-nucleotide ribosomal RNA is filed under the name uncultured bacterium. RNAcentral describes it as "bacterial SSU rRNA". It matches the Rfam family "Bacterial small subunit ribosomal RNA", at positions 771 to 1501 of the family's 1533-position model. The record is from RNAcentral.